UACGUAAGGAUGCAAGGACGUUGUCCGGAGUUUACUGGGACGUAAAGGGCGCGCAGGCGGCACUACAAGUACUGGGUGAAAUCUCCCUGCUCAACGGGGAGGGUGCUUAGUAGACUGUAGAGCUAGAGGUGGGUAGAGGGUGGUGGAAUUGACUGGUGUAGCGGUGAAAUGCGUAGAGAUCAGCAGGAACACCCGUGGCGAAGGCGGCCACCUGGGCCUAACCUGACGCUGGAGGCGCGAAGGCUAGGGGAGCGAACGGG
Molecule: ribosomal RNA, 260 nt
Filed under: uncultured bacterium
Lineage: Bacteria
Description: partial 16S ribosomal RNA
Rfam family: Bacterial small subunit ribosomal RNA
Source: RNAcentral